RNAcentral lists this antisense RNA (75 nucleotides) under Micromonospora palomenae. RNAcentral's name for it is "ASpks TB sRNA". It matches the Rfam family "ASpks TB sRNA". The record is from RNAcentral. Lineage: Bacteria; Bacillati; Actinomycetota; Actinomycetes; Micromonosporales; Micromonosporaceae.
CUUGAACGAGCCCAACCAGAGCGGCCGGUCCGCCGGCCGGCCCUGCCCGUACGUGGCGAGCAGCGCCUGCGCCUC